This is a long non-coding RNA of Callithrix jacchus (white-tufted-ear marmoset), 1279 nucleotides long. NCBI's taxonomy places the organism in Eukaryota, Metazoa, Chordata, Mammalia, Primates, Cebidae. The record is from Ensembl.
GUCUAAUUACAAACUCACAUUUCCUUCAUGGCUAACUCACAGGUUUACCCCCUUUAAAAUAUCUUCAGAUCAAGCUCUGGCUUCUUCCCUUUUUCGGAAUGGUGUUUAUGUUUGAGUGCAUGUUGACUUAGCAUCCAGUGAUUUAAAGUAUAUUUAUUUCAGCCAGGGGCGGUAGCUCACCCCUGUAAUCCCAGGACUCUGAGAGCCUGAGGCAAGUGGAUCAGAAAUUUGACACCAGCCUGACCAACAUGGCGAAGCUCCAUCUCUGCUAAAAAUACAAAAUUAGCUGGGUGUUGUGGUACAUGCCUGUAAUCCCAGAUACUCAGGAGGCUGAGGCAGGAGAAUCACUUGAACCUGGGAUGUGGAGGUUGCAGUGAGCUGAGAUCACACCAUUGCACUCCAGCCUGGGUGACAGAGCAAGACUCCAUCUCAAAAAAAAAAGUUUUUUUAUUCAUCUCUCCAAGUAGAUUUAUGGGUUAUAUAUUCUAUUUAAAAUAUAAUAGACUACUACUGAAAUUUGAAUCAGAAAACUGAUUUAGAAGCCAUCUAGUCCAAUAUCCUCCUCUGUAGUGGCUACUGAAAAUGGUGUCUCUCCCAAGCUUGGAUGUCUUUUUGAUUUUAAAAGCCUCCAUCUGUGAUUUUCUUUAUAGGAAAGGCCUUGGGCUAGUGGAGUCCCUUUGUCCAGACACAGAGAGCUAGAAGUGCCUGGGAGUUUAGUGUUACCAUCCCCAGCCCUGUCCUUGUACCAGCCAAUGACUGACAGAUAGCCAUGAGUGGACCUGUCUUGGAUCUUCACUGUGAGAACCUGGUGAGAUUCCUGGAAGUCAAGACCAUGAGAGUGUGCAUUCCCCCUAAGACUUGGCACCAAGGAACUUUUUGCACAUUCAGCCCUCAGUAGUGAAACUACCAUUAAGUGUUCCUACUAGUUUAUGGCUCCAGCAUCUUUUCCCUUAGAAUCGAAAGAAUACCACCCAAACGGAGAAGAAGUAAUAUUAAUUAUUGUUGUGGAAGGAGAAAUUAUUUUCUUGGGCAAAGAUUCCACUUUAUUCUGGAGCGUGCCCUUUUCAGGUAAUUGUGACGUCUACAGUAAGUAACCUGCAGAAUUUUAUCUCUUUAAUCUUUACAGAGAAAAAGAGCCGGUGUGAUGAAUAAUCCGGCAGUCUGAUCUGUAAGCAACAUGCUUCUCCUUAUUUUUCAGCAAAUGGUUUUUUGUAGCUUCAGAUAUCAGAGGAAUUGAUUAGAUUCUUGAGUUAUUUAUACAUGCAAAGUUAAGUGGAGA